UGUGUUUUGCAUGAAAAUAAAAAAUGAAGUUUUUGCUCUGUUAAUGGAAGAGAAGUAAUUAAUAAGCAUAAAGGUUGUUGCUGAUGUGAUGCUUUGCUAUCUGACAUUAUAAUCAACACUAGAGAAACUCUUGUUUUCACUGUUGUUACAGCUGAGUAGUUACAAACAUUAAAAAUUCCAUGUUCUGUGGAGGAUUGGAUGUUUAUAGGGCAUCAAAAACUUACGGGGAAAAGUUGCUCGUCUCUGCACAUUAUUAAGACACGUUGAAAGGAGGGAACCAUAGUCAUUCUUUCUCGACCAAAGAGCUGGACGCAAAUAAAACAAAUGAUAGAAGUCAUUC
Long non-coding RNA from Stegodyphus dumicola, 340 nucleotides. NCBI's taxonomy places the organism in Eukaryota, Metazoa, Arthropoda, Arachnida, Araneae, Eresidae. The record is from RefSeq and is a predicted model, not a curated record.